UAAUUACAUGGGUAUGGGCACUCCCCUUGGCAACUGCCAAGCUUGGGGGAGGUGCCCCGGUAUCGUAUCACCAUCACACUCCUAUCUUUACUGCUUUACUUAGUUCGGUCCUUCUGAUAAUAUCUAGAUCUAGUAGAAUAAUGUUUUGGUUUGAAUUAGUUUUGAGUUUUGCUUUGUGAUCCUUCUAUGUAAUCGAGUCCGUGAGUUAUAUAUAAUAAAGAUUAGUGUUGAGUCAAGGGCUUUGCUAUCUUGCCAUGAUCUUAAGAAAAUAAAAAGAAAUAAAAGAGUUCAUAUUGAUCUUAUGGAUAGUAAUGACUUCACAUAUAAAGAGUAUGAGGCAUAAAAGUUGUUGAGAGUUGACAAACAUAGUUUUGGUCAUCGUUGCAAUUAAUAGGAAGUAAUAAAGAAAGAAAGGUUUGCACAUAUAAAUAUACUAUCUUGGACAUAUUUUAUAAUUGUGAGCACUCAUUAAAGUAUGACAUGCUAAAGAGUUGAUGUUGGACAAGGAAGACAACGUAAUGGUUUAUGCUUUCUCACAUCUCAGUUAAAGUAUAUUGUCAUGGAUCAUCCAACAUGUUGAGCUUGCCUUUCCUCCUCGUGCUAGCCAAAUUCCUUGCACCAAGUAGAGAUACUACUUGUGCUUCCAAAUAUCCUUAAACCCAGUUUUGCCAUGAGAGUCCACCAUAUCUACCUAUGGAUUGAGUAAGAUCCUUCAAGUAAGUUGUGAUGUUGCAUGCAAUAAAAAUUGCUCUCUAAAUAUGCAUGACUUAUUAGUGCGGAGAAAAUAAGCUUUAUACGAUCGUGUGAUAUGGAAGUAAUAAAAGCAACGGACUACAUAAUAAAGGUUCAUAUCACAAGUGGCAAUAUAAAGUGACGUUCUUUUGCAUUAAGAUUUUGUGCAUCCAACCCUAAAAGCACAUGACAAUCUCUGCUUCCCUGUGCGAAGGGCCUAUCUUUUACUUUAUGUCUUUUACUUUAUGCAAGAGUCAAGGUGAUCUUCACCUUUCCCUUUUUCAUUUUAUCCUUUGGCAAACACCUCGUGUUGGAAAGAUCCUGAUAUAUAUAUAUAUAUAUAUAUAUAUAUAUAUAUCCAAUUGGAUGUAAGUUAUCAUGAACUAUUAUUGUUGACAUCACCCAAAGGUGAAUACGUUGGGAGGCGAAAUUAUAAGCCCCUAUCUUUCUCAGUGUCCGAUUAAAACUCCAUAACCAUAAGUAUUGCGUGAGUGUUAACAAUUGUAGAAGACUAUAUAAUAGUUGAGCAUGUGGACUUGCUGAAAAGCUCUAUUCUUGACUCUUUCUGAUGUUAUGAUAAAUUGCAAUUGCUUCAGUGACUGAGAUUAUAGUUUUCUAGUUCUCAAUGAAGUUUCUGAACCAUACUUGACAUUGUGAAUAGAUUGUUACUUGAGCAUAAGAAAUCAUAUGACAAAAUCUAUAUAUGUUGCUGUUAUAAGAAUGAUCCUGAUGCCCUCAUGUCCGCAUUUUAUUUUUAUCAACACCUCUAUCUAUAAACAUGUGGACAUAUUUUUCGAUAUCGGCUUCCGCUUGAGGACAAACGAGGUCUAAGCUUGGGGGAGUUGAUACGUCCAUUUUGCAUCAUGCUUUUAUAUCAAUAUUUAUUACAUUACUAGUUGACCCGUUGCGCCAAAUGGCGCAGAGACCCGCUAAAGCCAUGUUGUCGAUGAAAAUAGUUUCAUUUUGCAAGGACAUACAGUGCAGCGACCCGUUGAAUCCAUGUGUGCGUUGUUGCUUUUUUUGCAUGUUUUAGUUGGUUUAAUUGUAGUCGAGGACAUAUGAUAACAAAAUUUACCCCCUUUAGUAAAUAAAAGAAUGAAAAUGUUAUCUACAAUGAGAUAUACACACACAUUUUAAUUUAUCUCUGACCCAAAUGGCGUAGAGUCCAAUAUGAUACCAUGGGAGCGUUGAAAAUAUUUGCAUUUUUUCAAUAACUUUAUGUUUGAGGAAGCGCAAAGACCAUGUCAAAUCCAAAGUGUUUUGAAAAUAUUUGGUUGUGCUAGUAGAAGUAGGUUUUAGCAACAUUAGGGUAGCAUGCAUAUUUUGUUAUCUUAUUCAGGUAACAUAGAGCCAAAUGGCGCAAGGUAUAUGACAUACAACUUUACCGUGAAGAUGCGAUGUGAUAUCUUCCUUGACCUAAUGUUCAAACAUAUUUGGAGAUCAAACCCAUAAUUGGUGUCACCUGUCUUAAUUAAAACCCAAAACACCUACCUUGUGCAACAUGGCCUUUUACCAUGGGAACAAUUAUUAGCACAAACAGAGUUCGGAUAUUACAUGUUACAUAAGAGUUUGGCUUGAGAAACUGUCCUGUUAUAGGUAUAUAAAUUUCCUACUUUUAAUCACAGCAGCAAACAAGAACCUUCUUAAAUGGAAAACUCCCUUAUGCAUAUCUGUUUCAAAAUUCAACUUGUGAACACAGGUGAAACAUUUCAUCAAUGCACAAUAAAAUAUUGAACACACAUAAUAGUCUAGUUGGGAAUCCAAAUAAUUGACUGACACAUCAGCAUACACUCGAAUCAUAGAAAAUUUGUUGUUUCCGGAAAUGGAAACUAACAUCAACAAGUCACAUGCUCCAUCCGCCCUUUGGACUGCUCUCUCCUCAUGCCUCCCCUUCAAUCACUCACCAUAUUAAUAACACCUGAAUACAAAAAACCACUUAUGAAUUAUACAAGCAUGCAAAAUAUUGUAUACUGUGAAGCAUAUCAAUGCCACAAAAAGAUGGGCACUCUCACAUUGAAAAACAGAAAAUAUAAUAAACUAUGUAUUAAAGAGAUAUGGUCUAGAAUGGUCUAAUAUAAACCCAUAUAUUUUCUAUAAAAAGUUUCCUUUUUGUGAUAUAUUGUCUUUAAAAGAUAGGUCAAAUUGUUAAAAACUGACAUGUAAACAACAAACACAAACUAUAGCCAGUCACCAGUCAGCAAAGCCCUAUUUUUUUGCAAGGCCAACAUCAUGGCAACCGUCACUCAUGGCCUGCCUUGGAGGCACGACGUGAAGGUUGCCAAAGGUCGGUGCUACUACAGGUGUUUCUAUUCACAUCAUCAAUAGUUCAUGUAUGCACCUAUUAGGUAAUUCCAAGUUUUCAUUCAGAUUUAUCCUCUUCAAAGGAUAUGGGGUACACGGUAGCUGGAUGGGGACCUGCAGCCUAAGACAACCAGAAUAAGCAAAUAUAGAAACUACCCUGUAGUUCUAAAGAUCUGAAAUACAACUGCAUGGACAAAGUGUUGCUGCGAAAUAAUCGUACGUGUAUAUACAGUAGAGUGUUGUUGAUUCCACAGAGCAAAUUUACCAUCAGCUAAGUUGGUUCUUUCGUUGUGCAUGAACUCAUACACAACUAUGUUCUUCCUGUCUUGCUGACUGUAACCAGUGAAUGUUACCAGGUUCCAAUGACAUAUUCCAGAAAGCAAUGCUACCUAAAACAAGUAGACCUUCACAGCAGACUACUCCCUUCGUCCCAAAAUAAGUGUCUCAACUCUAGUAAAACUUUGUAACAGAGUUGAGACACUUAUUUUAGGACGGAGGGCGCACAUGUAAGCCAGCCAACUCAUCAGGACAACAUCGGUAAGAAAAGAAAUGCAUGAGCAUAUGGUACAUUGUCAUGCAACGAUGCAACCAUAGCAUGAUAUGGCUGUUCCGUAGACCAUUACAACAGACCACAAGAGGGGGUGUGCAGAUACAGAAUGCAAAGGAAAUGUCAAAAGGCAGGAACUAAAAUUGCAGAAACAUAAAAGAAGGAUUACUACUAAUCUGAGAUAGUGAGGAAACAAUUGUCAUAUGAUCAAAGCACAUUAAGAGGUCAUUGGAUAAAGAAAAAAACAGAAUAGUCGAACAUAUCAGGAUCUUUUUUCACAACAGGACCAAGCCAUACUAUAAAAGCAGAAACAAGUAAACACAUGAGAAGGUGCACAUAAAUUUAACUACUUGGCAUAAAAUAACAUAAGUUCAUCAUCUAACAACAAGAGCCUACACUGGUAUAUAAUUAUAGAAGAUAUUAUGUAUGCAGAUAUGAUGAUAUAUAACCCUAUUCGAUUAUUCAAUUUGAUGUGAUGCUAAGAAGCACACAUCUGAGCCGUCUAUUUCUUUUCUCAAAGAAAAUAACACCAGGAUUAUUUUUAGUAAGAAGUGCAACAACAAUCAUGCCUCAGUUGAUAAAUAAUAAAGGAGUACUCGGAAUAUAUACAAACUUGACUCAAAGAGCAUU
Molecule: long non-coding RNA, 4210 nt
Filed under: Triticum aestivum (bread wheat)
Lineage: Eukaryota; Viridiplantae; Streptophyta; Magnoliopsida; Poales; Poaceae
Description: long non-coding RNA (TAES_LNC012238)
Source: RNAcentral